CCUACGGGAGGCUGCAGUGGGGAAUAUUGCGCAAUGGGCGAAAGCCUGACGCAGCGACGCCGCGUGAGGGAUGAAGGUCUUCGGAUCGUACACCUCUGUCAGCAGGGAAGAACGGUCACUGUGCUAAUCAGCAGUGAAUUGACGGUACCUGCAAAGGAAGCACCGGCUAACUCCGUGCCAGCAGCCGAGGCAAUACGGAGGGGGCGAGCGUUAAUCGGAAGUACUUGGCGUAAAGCGCUCGUAGGCGGUAGGUCAAGGAAAGGGUGAAAUCCCCGCGCUCAAUGUGGGAACUGCCUUUGAAACUGGCAAACUGGAGUGUGUGAGAGGAUAGUGGAAUUCCAGGUGUAGGAGUGAAAU
This 357-nucleotide ribosomal RNA is filed under the name uncultured bacterium. RNAcentral's name for it is "partial 16S ribosomal RNA". It matches the Rfam family "Bacterial small subunit ribosomal RNA", at positions 338 to 687 of the family's 1533-position model. The record is from RNAcentral.